UCGAGCUUCUGGGCUGCUUUGUUUGCCUAAGCAAGCCUGGGCAAUGGCGGGCUCCCCUCCCCCAGCCUCGCUGCCGCCUUGCAGUUUGAUCUCAGACUGCUGUGCUAGCAAUCAGCGAGACUCCGUGGGUGUAGGACCCUCCGAGCCAGGUGCGGGAUAUAGUGUCGUGGUGCGCCGUUUUUUAAGCCGGUCUGAAAAGAACAAUAUUCGGGUGGGAGUGACCCGAUUUUCCAGACUCAAGGAAAAUUCCUUAAAAGCUUUUGGCCAGGCACGGUGGCUCAUGACUGUAAUCCCAGCACUUUGGGAGGCUGAGGUGAGUGGAUCACAAGGUCAGGAAUUCAAGACCAGCCUGACCAACGUGGUGAAACCCGCAUCUCCACUAAAAAUACAAACAUUAGCUGAGCAUGGUGGCACAUGCCUGUAAUCCCAGACAUUCAGGAGGCUGAGGCAGGAGAAUUGCUUGAACCCGGGAGGUGGUGAUUGCAGUGAGCUGAGAUUGAGUCACUGUGAUCCAGCCUGGGUGACAGAGUGAGACUCUGCCUCAAAAAAAAAAAAAAAACACACACACACACACAAAAACACCUUCUUUCAACAACUGAGCAAGGUAUACUCCUAUGAACAAAAUUUCGAACAUGUUUAUUUCUCUCUGCCUAGUUCUUCUAAAAUUCAAAAACUAGUUAUGACUGUUUUUUUACUUACAACAGUAUAGUUGUUUGCAUCAGUGCAACAGGAAUUUAUUUUCUUUUGCAACAAGACACAAUUGAAAAAACUGGUUGUUUUACCAAGGCCUUGACUAGAUGGGUGUGUUUCCCUUUAAGGAAUCAAGCUUGGCUUGCAGAGCGGAUAAAAGCCGCUUGGGAAAACUGACCUCAUAUUUUGUCUACACAGUCUCUGUACAGGAUUCCUGACCUGUGGUGAGUAAAGAAUGUCACUUUCUAACAGGCCUAGGAAACCAAUGCUCCUGGAACUGCAAAAAAAAAAAAAAAAAAAAAGUUUACCCAACGCUCACAGGUAUUUGAAAAUACAAACCCAAGGCUAGCCUUGUUUUAAGGAGUUCUGCCUGAGAUUCCUUGUGGAACAGAGUUCCAUCAAUGCCAGUCAAAAAGGACUACAUAAAGGUGAUUAUUCUUGCUGCACUUUAUGCAAAUAAUUAUGCCAAGUAUAAUACUAAAGUCUAUUUUGCAAAUAGCCGUGUCCUAUCAUAAGUUGCUUUUAACAAAAAUGAGAACUGAAGAGAAAGAAAUUAUGUUUUAAAACUUAUCAUACAUUUAUCAUUAACUUCUAGUUUCAUUAGUUAUUUUUAAGUAUUUGUCUACAUUUUAAAAUAAUUGUGCUUAUUCCUAUGAGCCAACCAGGAAUCUCCAGCUAUAGCUCAGAGGUGACAGAAGGAUGGGGAAUGUAAAACUCUAGAUCAAUAUUCUGGCUCUGAGCAAUUGUUUUGCAGCUCCUUCUGGGUAAUGGGAACAAAUAUGAUGCCCAUAGCCCAGAAAUUUCCUUGAAAGAAAAAAAAUCAAGAAAGCUAACCAAAGCCAAGCCCUAUGCACCCAAAUCUUAGCAAGCCCAACUCUAGCCACUAGUUACGGGGACAUGUAAGCAGCCUUAACAUUUUUAAGCUGCUUUUACCCCCCUUGUCUCAUUUUAAUACAUGUCCUCUAAUAACCAAAAUUGUUUCUUUUCAUCUAGAGGCUAUCAAACUCCAAACAGUGAUGCAAAUGGAACCAUGCAUGAAUGCACCUUUCCAUGAAUGAAUAACAUGUAAGCCAACCUUGGGAGGAAUCCUAGCUGCUGUUCCUAACACAAUGCACCUCUCUAGCAAAAAGUAGCCAGAAAAAUCAAUGCUCUAGUUAGAUAACAAGGGAAGAGUCACGGAGAGUCCCAGGCUAAUGGGUCAGUGCCUCAUCCCCACAUAACAUAAAAAGCAGCCUGGGAAAUAAUUCAAGCUGCAGGCACCAAUAAGGAAACUUGCACAGGGUGUUGUGCCUGCAGACAGGUCCAUUACUGCACAGAUUGAAAAACCUCCAAACCCAUUUGGAUAUAAUUGUGCACAAACCUCCAGCUCACUCAGAGAAGGGAAUGCCUUUAUCUUUUGUAUAGUCAGCAGGCUCCCAGGAAAAUGUUUCUUCUUCUUUUGUGGUCAUGGGCACAGUGGACUCUGGUAGGUCCCAGUGGGCACCCUACUUUUAUUUAUUAGAACUAUAAGUUUGGCUUCUAUGAAUCAUCAUCUCAGCCUCUGAUUUGUCCUGAGCCAAGGUCCCAGGCCAAGCUUUCACAUCAACUUCUGAUAGGUCUUAGGCCAAGCUAAGCAGCAAUUAUGAAACAUCAUUUCACCUCCUCAUUGGUCCCAGGCCAAGGUCCUAGGCCAAGCUGAGUUGCACAUUUGCUAAAACAGCCUGCAGAGUAAGCGUACUCCUUCUCCUUCCCAGUCCAUGAAAACCAUGGACCCCACCUCAUAGGGGAUACUCCCAUUCAGGACCCCCUUUUUGUGCUGGCAGAGAGCUUUCCUCUUUCACUCGUUAAUCAUUCACUCUAACCUCACCUGUGUUUCCAUACUCCUUAAUCAUCUUGGAGAUAGGACACAAAACUCCAGACAUUAUCUUAGACAAUGUUGUGUUUCCAUUAUCAUGGUUCAAUAAAUUUUUUUAUUUCCUUCUUAAUUUCUUGAUUGACCAGCUGGUCAUUCAGGAGCAUAAUGUCUAAUAUUCAUGGGUUAUAUAGUUUCAAAAAUUCCUCUUUUUGUUGAUUUCUAGCCUGGUUUAUUGUGGCCAGAUAAGACACUUGAUAUUAUUUUAGCUCUGGAAUAUUUUAAGAAUUGUUUUGUGACCUAAUAUAUGUUCUGUCCUUGAGAAUGAUUCGUCUGCUUCUGGGAAGAAUGUGUAUUCUGCAGGCACUGGAUGAAAUGUUUUGUAAAUAUCUAUUAGCCGCAUUUGGCCUAUAGUGCAGAUUAAGUCCAAUAUUUCUUUGUUGAGUUUCUCUCUCAGAGAUCUGCACAAUGCUGAAAGUGGGGUGUUAAAGUGUCCAGUUAUUGUUGUAUUGAAGUCUAUUGCUCUCUUUAACUCUAAUAAUAUUUGCUUUAAUUAUCUGGGUGCUCUAGUGUUGGGUGAAUAUGUAUACUUGCAAUUGUUAUAUCCUGUUUCUGGAUUGACUCCUUUAUCAUUAUACUUUGUCUGUUUUUACAGUUUUUGUCUUAAAAUCUCUUUGUCUUAUAUAAAUAUAGUUAUAGUGAUCUGUUUCAGUUGUAAUGAAAUAUCUUAUUCCAUCCUUUUGUUUUCAGUCUAUGUGUAUCUUUAGAGGUUAGUUAAGUUUUUAAUGGCAUCAAGAUAAUAUGCAUUGAAUACAAACUGUAUUUUUCCUGAAAUAAUACAAGCCAGAUGCAGCUCCUAGUUACUCACACACUUUCAACUUACAUUUUUUCUUCUUUUUAAAAUUUCAUUUUAAUU
RNAcentral lists this long non-coding RNA (3437 nucleotides) under Homo sapiens (human). RNAcentral's name for it is "HSALNT0288364". The record is from RNAcentral. Lineage: Eukaryota; Metazoa; Chordata; Mammalia; Primates; Hominidae.